AUCGUAUAUAAUCUCCGUCGAAGAAAACAGAAGGAAUGCCAUGUCAUCGUAUCAGACUUCAUUUGCCAUGCAUGUAGUACAUAUCUGUUUAUUAUCUGUGGAAUUGCCCCCAGUCAUCUAAGUACAUAGUUAACCAAGCAUGAGUAGAAGCUUAUUUAUUGCUCGAUGUUUAUCGGAUUCGGGUUCGUGUUUGGCUCCUGGCGACGGAUCCAGUUCGGAUUCCUCAUGUUGAAUGCGCAGGACGACGUGGCAUUUUCGGUCCUGUCGCGUGCUAUCUCUCGAACCUUCGAUCCCGGCCACCGCCGCUGCCCUCUUUUAACUCCUCGAAUCAGAAGUGCCCAAUCCCCUUCCUCUAUUCGAACGAGACUCGUGCUGCAACGGCGUCCGUGCUGGUACUGUUCUAUCGAUCCUCGACCUUUUGUGUUCUCCUGGUGUUCGAAGCUAUUGCGAUCGCUGAUCUGGAUCCUCGAUGCGAUGUCUGCAGCAGCCCUCAGGUCAUACUGCUGAACGAGGGGGACAACACGUCCCAGGGGAAGGCACAGAUGACGAGCAACAUCAAGAUGGAAACCAAAGUGCCUGGGAUCUCCUCGACAUCGUCCAUACCGCCGCCAAGAUCAUGGAUCUCCUCGACAUCCAUGAUCUUGGAUCUCCUCGACAUCGUCAACAUCAAGAUGGAAACCAACGCCACAAAUCAUGGAUCUCCUCGACAUCGUCCAUACCACCGCCAAGAUCCUCGUCGGCGGUUGCCAAGUCGCAAGACUCCGAGGUAACUUGCCCGGCCUGGGAUCACGAACGAACGGUAGGGCACGAGCAAAAGGUGCCAACGCCUGAAGAUCAAGAUGGAAACCAAAGUGUGUUUAUGUCAACAAGAACCCAUCGAUUGAUCAAGAAAGCAACGAACUGCUGAUCCGGGUUUAACCGCUGUCAGAUGGAUCAUGGAUGCAUCUCGCAUCAGCAGUUUUCUUAUGCACACAACGGUGACUUCUUGUAAGUAGCUUUGGGUACCGACUACAGAGUCACACACUCUGAACCUUGUACAGGUGGGUGAUGGAACUACUACCACUGUAGUUCUUGCUGGGUGAGCUCUCUCCGAAGAGGCUAAAACCUGUUCUUGGAGAUGGGAGUCCUUUCACAGAGUCUAAUCCGAAGUUGCAGGACUGCAGUCAGUAUCUCACUGCUCUCUCUCUCUCUCUCUCUCUUUCUUGGUAAUGAAUGCUCAUUGAAUUGAAUAACGUGUUUUACAUGGCAUUAACAAAAAAUAAAGAAGUAGGCCUCACCGUAGAAGCGAUGGGCCUUUCGAGGAAAGCAAUCAUUCUGGGGGGGGGCGUUCCAUUGGCUGACACAGGAGAACUGGCAGAAGCGAUGAGAGGGACGCAUCGGGAAGAGUCCUCCUAAUUGGAUCUCCCAAGAGGCCAGACAAUAGCUUCAAAGAAAAUGAUUCAACCUAUAAUGAAAUCACAGUACCAAAACCAGAGAAGAUGACGCCCUUGGCCCUUCACAUCACGUUGGCGUUUAUAGGAAUGAAGCUGUGUACAUUAAUUCUUUACCGAUCCCUGCGGUAAAGAAUUGUCUUACCAAUGACCAAUGGUGUAUUGUCUCAAGUAGCCCAAAGCCUUUGUCUGGGGGUCUAAUGGAGUCGAUCAUCUAACCUGUAACUCUUUUCCGUGAGUUCCUCAUUUCUCGUUCCUAUACUGCAAGCUGAAACUUGUAGGACUUGCUAUUUCAGUAUUUUUCUUAAUCUUAAAAGAUUGCUAUCCCAUAA
Long non-coding RNA from Musa acuminata AAA Group (dessert banana), 1762 nucleotides. RefSeq lists it as uncharacterized. The record is from RefSeq and is a predicted model, not a curated record. The transcript is spliced from 2 exons. NCBI's taxonomy places the organism in Eukaryota, Viridiplantae, Streptophyta, Magnoliopsida, Zingiberales, Musaceae.